This 522-nucleotide ribosomal RNA is filed under the name Psilocybe sp. 3 VRZ-2013. RNAcentral describes it as "eukaryotic LSU rRNA". It matches the Rfam family "Eukaryotic large subunit ribosomal RNA", at positions 93 to 622 of the family's 3401-position model. Lineage: Eukaryota; Fungi; Basidiomycota; Agaricomycetes; Agaricales; Agrocybaceae. The record is from RNAcentral.
GUGAAGCGGGAAAAGCUCAAAUUUAAAAUCUGGCGGUCUUUGGCCGUCCGAGUUGUAAUCUAGAGAAGUGUUAUCCGCGCUGGACCGUGUACAAGUCUCCUGGAAUGGAGCGUCAUAGAGGGUGAGAAUCCCGUCUUUGACACGGACUGCCAGGGCUUUGUGAUGCGCUCUCAAAGAGUCGAGUUGUUUGGGAAUGCAGCUCAAAAUGGGUGGUAAAUUCCAUCUAAAGCUAAAUAUUGGCGAGAGACCGAUAGCGAACAAGUACCGUGAGGGAAAGAUGAAAAGAACUUUGGAAAGAGAGUUAAACAGUACGUGAAAUUGCUGAAAGGGAAACGCUUGAAGUCAGUCGCGUUGUCCGGGGAUCAACCUUGCUUUUGCUGGGUGUACUUUCCGGUCGACGGGUCAGCAUCAAUUUUGACCGUUGGAUAAAGUCUUUGGGAAUGUGGCUUCCUCGGAAGUGUUAUAGCCCAUGGUCGCAUACAACGGUUGGGAUUGAGGAACUCAGCACGCCGAAAGGCCGGG